This 136-nucleotide transfer-messenger RNA is filed under the name Porticoccaceae bacterium. RNAcentral's name for it is "partial transfer-messenger RNA". It matches the Rfam family "transfer-messenger RNA", at positions 1 to 137 of the family's 374-position model. Rfam says of the family: Bacterial tmRNA, also known as 10Sa RNA or SsrA, is named for its dual tRNA and mRNA-like properties. Its role is to liberate the mRNA from a stalled ribosome. Lineage: Bacteria; Pseudomonadati; Pseudomonadota; Gammaproteobacteria; Cellvibrionales; Porticoccaceae. The record is from RNAcentral.
GGGGGCGUUCUGGAUUCGACGCGGGUUACAAAACCUCCGGUGCAUGCCGAGAUGGUGACCAAUCUCGUUAAUCCAAAGUCGCAAACUUAUAGUUGCCAACGACGACAACUACGCACUAGCUGCUUAAACCCCAGUG